UGAGGAAUAUUGGUCAAUGGGGGCAACCCUGAACCAGCCAAGUCGCGUGAAGGACGACUGCCCUAUGGGUUGUAAACUUCUUUUGUAUAGGGAUAAACCUACCCUCGUGAGGGUAGCUGAAGGUACUAUACAAAUAAGCACCGGCUAACUCCGUGCCAGCAGCCGCGGUAAUACGGAGGGUGCAAGCGUUAUCCGGAUUUAUUGGGUUUAAAGGGUGCGCAGGCGGGAUGUUAAGUCGGCGGUGAAAUUUUGCAGCUCAACUGUAAAAGUGCCUUCGAUACUGGCUUCCUUGAGUGUGGAUGAAGUAGGCGGAAUUUGUGGUGUAGCGGUGAAAUGCUUAGAUAUCACGAGGAACUCCGAUUGCGCAGGCAGCUUACUAAGCCACAACUGACGCUCAUGCACGAAGGCGUGGGGAUCAAACA
This 422-nucleotide ribosomal RNA is filed under the name uncultured bacterium. RNAcentral describes it as "bacterial SSU rRNA". It matches the Rfam family "Bacterial small subunit ribosomal RNA", at positions 355 to 774 of the family's 1533-position model. The record is from RNAcentral.